Molecule: transfer RNA, 82 nt
Filed under: bacterium
Lineage: Bacteria
Description: tRNA-Leu
Rfam family: tRNA
About the family: Transfer RNA (tRNA) molecules are approximately 80 nucleotides in length.
Source: RNAcentral
GCCCGGGUGGUGGAAUUGGCAGACACGCACGACUCAAAAUCGUGUGCCGCAAGGCAUGGGAGUUCGACUCUCCCCCCGGGUA